RNAcentral lists this ribosomal RNA (253 nucleotides) under uncultured bacterium. RNAcentral describes it as "partial 16S ribosomal RNA". It matches the Rfam family "Bacterial small subunit ribosomal RNA", at positions 524 to 776 of the family's 1533-position model. The record is from RNAcentral.
UACGUAGGUGGCGAGCGUUAUUCGGAUUUAUUGGGCGUAAAGGGUUCGUAGGGGGUACUGUAAGUCUGAUGUGAAAUCCCACGGCUCAACCGUGGAACUGCAUUGGAUACUGCAGUACUAGAGUCCUGGAGAGGUAAGCGGAAUUCCUGGUGUAGCGGUGGAAUGCGUAGAUAUCAGGAGGAACACCAAUGGCGAAGGCAGCUUACUGGACAGGUACUGACCCUGAGGAACGAAAGCUAGGGGAGCAAACAGG